CAGGAAAUAAGAAAGUGCACGAUCAAUCCUAAAUAAAUAACAUAAUAGAUAACAUUAGAACAACUACAACCACAAUUAUAAUAGUAGCAACUUUGAACUUUGACCUUCCUUGUCUUCUUUGACAAUGGCAUCGAUCACUCUUCUUAAUAAGAGCAGCAAGAAGAGUCUCGUAGUGUUCUUCCUUAAUCGCAGGAUCAACCCAUCUGAAAAAUCCACAACCUUCACCAAUCUCAUAUCUUCUGCAGCCCAGGAACCUCCUUCCAUGAUUUGUGGGUGUUCGUGACAUUUAAGAUCUGCAACAAGUCCACAAUAACACAAAGGAUCCUUCCUCAUUAUUGAAGGAGAAGAGGCGACAGUAGCUUAUUUGUUGCAAGAGAAGCAGAAAAAAUCGACUUUCAAAAUAAAAGGAGAUGACAAAAUUGAUAGGCAACGAAGAAUCACAUGAAAAUAAAUUUCUAUUUUUCACUAUUGAAGCUAACAAACAAAGAAGAAGGCAUCAGAUUUGAAUAGAAAUUAGCUUCUAUAAUGUUCAACAAUGGAGAAUAAGGCAGAAAGAAAAAAAAAUGACUGUUAAAUAGGCUAAAUUAUUACUGUUAGGACUUUUUUAAUUAUCU
This 614-nucleotide long non-coding RNA is filed under the name Nicotiana benthamiana. Its description in RNAcentral is "long non-coding RNA (NBEN_LNC039922)". Lineage: Eukaryota; Viridiplantae; Streptophyta; Magnoliopsida; Solanales; Solanaceae. The record is from RNAcentral.